Raphanus sativus (radish) is the source of this 1442-nucleotide long non-coding RNA. RefSeq lists it as uncharacterized. The transcript is spliced from 4 exons. NCBI's taxonomy places the organism in Eukaryota, Viridiplantae, Streptophyta, Magnoliopsida, Brassicales, Brassicaceae. The record is from RefSeq and is a predicted model, not a curated record.
UAUACACAAAAAGCCCAAGCCAGGUAUAAGACCAUUUGGUUAAUGUUUAGUUAUAUAACCCAUUUUGAACAAAAGGUCUGAUGUUUUAUUUGGCAAUCGACCAAAGCUCUAACGUUUUAUAUUUUAGUCGAGGAAAGUGUGCCGUUUUUAUUGGUUUGAUUAGGUUUUCUUCUUCUUCUUCUUCUUCGUCCCUUCAAUCUGACCAUCCCUGCUGUUUUUCCUAAGCUUGUGAAAAGACGAGUCUUUAUGACUUUUUACCUUCAACUCUUUUAAUGUCUGUCAAUUCUUAAAUUUUAUAAUAAAGGAUUUUUUUCAUUAAAACCAUUUACAAUCUCAAACUCUCCGUCUCCCUUCGGAUACAAUGAAACCGAAAAAUUAAUUCAACCCCUAUAAACUAAAGAGGGUCGAUAGCAGGAUGGAUCUUCACAGACACUCUCAGUUUAUCUUCUAUCUUCAAUCGGAGAGGGAGCUUGACGAACAAGUAUGAUUGAUUCUCUUCAAUUUCCUUCUUACGAAGCCCAAAGAGAUCUAUGGAGUAGCUGAUCUGCGUGUAACCAUUUGUUUCUCGCACAGCUCUGUUCUUCUUCUAUCUUGACCACAUAUGCACCCUAUAAAACCCUUACAUUUGUUGGUUUGAGUAAUGGGAAUUGAAGGAGAGAGUGGAGGGAUACAAGAUAUUGCUUUUAUGAUGAGCGUUGAUGAGAAAGAUGAUGAUUUCAGAGACAAAGAUGAAGUUACUAUCGGUCGAAUGAAGAAUCGGGAAAGACAACGCAGAAAGAAGAGGGAGAGGAAAAAUCAAGAAUACGCCAUUUUCAGAUCUAACUAGGAAAGAAGAGACGCCACUCUCCGCAAUCCAGUAUCCAACUUCUCAUAAUAUAUUGAUGUGAUAUCCAUCAUUGAGGAUGGAACACCCCCCUGAGGACCUGGUAUGGGAGGAUGAAACUGAGGAUGAAACUGAGGAUGAUGCCAUCGACAAUCUUCUCGGACUAACAAAAGGAGGAUAUUUUUUUUUAAACACAAUGUUCACUGGAGGAUUGACUGCAGCUGACAUGGUUCGUAUUAGCAAAUAAGAAACAAAAAGAGAAGGAGGCAAAAGAGAAGAAAGAGGCCAAAGAGAAGAGAGAAAGAGAGAGCACCCCGGGGUCACCUGAGACGGAUGCUUCCGAUGUUGUUUACCAUAACCAUAUUGCAAACCUUGUUCAGUCCCAUCUGAAGCCUAACAUUGACAACGCUGUCGCAACAGAAGCGUAACUUCCAAGGGAAUUAGUGGGUGUCAAUAAUAAUCUUUUUCAUUAUCUUAUCGAAAUAUUCAUAAUAUUUGUAUGGUAUAGGAAUAAUUAUAAAAAAUGAUGUAAUCUCAGAAAGUUCCAUCUAAGAUAUGUAGUAGACGUUACAAUCACUAGGUUUGUUUAUACUAUUUUCAGAUUAUAUGGUAAACUAUC